CCGACAAUCGUAUGUUUAUAUGUCCAACAAAACGGAUCGGGCUAAAUAUUCUGACCCGAUUCUCACUAAACCAAAAUAGAACCGAUUCCUGCUCAACUACGCAACUAACAAGGCCCUCCUGAACCACAAAACACCUGCGCCUAACAAAAAGAGAGAAAACAGGAAACAACUGCCCUUCAAUUUGCAUCCUACGCAAGGACCCAAACUCAACUACCCUAACCCCUCCACAGAUCUCCUGUAACACACCACAGCGCAGAACACAUCUGGGAGACGCGAUGGAAGAGGUGAGCAAGAAGAAAGAACAGAAACAAGUCAGAUAGAUAUGGGAGAGGGGAAAGUACCUGGAGAGAAUCAAAAGGGAAGAGCAGCUGCCAAUAUUUGGGGGAGGACAGAGGAAGAUCAUCCAAGAUAUGAUCCACAUGUCAGAAACUCUCCUACUCCUUUUGCUCACCCUUCUGAUGUACAGACACCUUUUACAUGAACUUGUCUGUAGAAAACAUCAAAGAAUCUAGUGAAAAAAUGGAAUCAUCAGCUUCUAACAGAUUGAAAAAGCAACACUGAAAUUUAUUUAGAUCAGGGUAAAAACAGCAAACCAACAGGAAACAUAGAGUUAAAAAGCAUUGUAAAUACACACGAAAAUAAGGGCAUAUGGUAAGUACACAUGAAAAUAUGUGCUCCAUUACGGUGUAAUGAAGCUGCAAUUUGCAUUGUCAGAAAACUAGGAAAUUAGAGAUAAAGCAUGGACUAUGAUAAAUGUGGGAUAUUACACUGUAAGGCAACUGAGGAUAUACAGUGAGAAAAUCAUAGGAAUUCCACUGUAAAUACCUACAGUAUAUAUAAUGUAAAAAAUGAGGUAUUUACAGAGCGUAACUCCCUAAAAAAAUCUUAGGUAUUCCACUGCAAUACCUACAAGUUUUACAAUGACUAUGUAGUAAAACUGGGGGAUAUUACAGUGAAAUCAAAUUGAAAAAGCACACUGUGGAAUGACAACAAUGAAGUAGGCACAAAGACAACAACUCAGAGACAUCAGAGAAAAUUCACUGAACAAAUCAGUGGAAAUUGCAGUGCAAACACCAAAGAAUGGCAGCGAUGAAUAACCACAGUAAAUUACAGUGCAAACACCAAUGAUUUACAGUGACUAAGGCCCUGUUCGGCAGCUCUCCAGCUCCGUAUAAUACGGGAGCGGACGGAGCGCCAGUUUUACAACUCCAGGAAAAUGCACUACGGGCCGCUCCGCUCCGGCCGCUCCAGGAGCAGAGCUGCGUAACGGAGGGCUGCCGAACACGGCCUAAAGCUCUAGAAUUACACUAUACAAUAUAAGGAAUUACUCUGAAAGUAAAUUACAGUGAAGGUACACAUGAAGUACGGUGCUUCACAAGGAAAAUUUACAGUCUAAAUACACUUGAAUUACUAUAAAUAAAUACAGCAAUAUACAAUCUAGGCACGCAGAAAUUAAACAGAAGCAAUUCAGGGCAUUCUGACAAAUUACGGUAAGCUCCUUGGAGGAACAUGUACGCACAAUGUCACACGAGUCUGCUGUUCAUAAGUUACUAUUAAUCAUAAAAGUGUU
This 1570-nucleotide long non-coding RNA is filed under the name Triticum aestivum (bread wheat). Its description in RNAcentral is "long non-coding RNA (TAES_LNC008739)". Lineage: Eukaryota; Viridiplantae; Streptophyta; Magnoliopsida; Poales; Poaceae. The record is from RNAcentral.